Molecule: long non-coding RNA, 353 nt
Filed under: Phoenix dactylifera (date palm)
Lineage: Eukaryota; Viridiplantae; Streptophyta; Magnoliopsida; Arecales; Arecaceae
Description: long non-coding RNA (PDAC_LNC022283)
Source: RNAcentral
AACUCUCCCUAUUUAAAUGUUAUCUUGCACUGAUUUCAUCCUUAAAGUGUGUUUUCAAGUGAUUAAAAAUUUGACUUGAUUCUUCUUAUAUACUUUCAUUUACUUUGUCUUUCAUUUUUAACUUUCCUAUGUUGUAUACUCUACUUGCUCCCUAUCCGGUGGUGUUGGAAGGGGCACGAGGUACUACCACUAGCCUCCCUCUUGUGCCGUCCCUAAUAUACCCUACACCGAAUAGUUGGGUCAAAUAGUGCCGGGUACUACCACUAGCCUCCCCAUUGGCACCAUCCCUAUGAUGAGCAAUAUAGAAAGGUUAAAAUAUUCACUUCAAAUUCUCUCUAUUUAAGUGUAAUUCA